RNAcentral lists this non-coding RNA (24 nucleotides) under Arabidopsis thaliana (thale cress). Lineage: Eukaryota; Viridiplantae; Streptophyta; Magnoliopsida; Brassicales; Brassicaceae. The record is from RNAcentral.
GGCUAAGAAUUGAAAGGUCCCGCC